Molecule: small nuclear RNA, 190 nt
Organism: Pipistrellus kuhlii (Kuhl's pipistrelle)
Lineage: Eukaryota; Metazoa; Chordata; Mammalia; Chiroptera; Vespertilionidae
Product: U2 spliceosomal RNA
Exons: 1
Source: RefSeq, a predicted model, not a curated record
AUUGCUUCUCAGCCUUUUGGCUAAGAUCAAGUGUAGUAUCUGUUCUUAUAAGUUUAAUAUCUGAUAUGUCCUCUAUCUGAGGAAAAUAUAUUAAAUGGAUUUUUGGAGCAGGGAGAUGGAAUAGGAGCUUGCUCCAUCCAUUCCACACACUGACCCCUAUUGCAGUACCUUUUGGAAAAGUUCACCAAAA